GCUGGGUGUGGUGGCGUGCACCUAUAAUCUCAGCUACUCGGGAGGCUGAGGCAGGAGAAUCGCUUGAACCCGGGAGGCGGAGGUUGCAGUGAGCCAAGAUUGUGCCAUUGCACUCCAGCCCGGGUGACAGAGCGAGACUCUGUCUCAA
RNAcentral lists this non-coding RNA (148 nucleotides) under Pan paniscus (pygmy chimpanzee). RNAcentral also lists the same sequence under 1 other name. The record is from Rfam by way of RNAcentral. Lineage: Eukaryota; Metazoa; Chordata; Mammalia; Primates; Hominidae.